Molecule: long non-coding RNA, 3384 nt
Organism: Phyllostomus discolor (pale spear-nosed bat)
Lineage: Eukaryota; Metazoa; Chordata; Mammalia; Chiroptera; Phyllostomidae
Exons: 2
Source: RefSeq, a predicted model, not a curated record
UAACAUUGGUUAUUUUUUAAUUUUGGUUUUAUAACAUUAUACCAAAAAUUCAAAAUCUAAGUUUAUCAGUUUAUUAAUAGACGAAGUAAAAUGGUUAUUAAAAAUGAUACUUUAAACUAGUACAAUUAUGAGAAGGUAACUUUAAAGCAUUUUGGUUAUUUUGCUUCUAAAAACUUUGUACCAGCAUUUAGACACUCAACACCAUUUCACAUUAACCAAAGAAUGUUAAUGUGAAAAGGACCCUGGAGAUCAUCUUUCUCAAAUGAGAAAAUUGAUACUCUGAAACUGAUAAAGGUCUCUCAGUGCUUGGGAAGGGAAAAGAACUCAGGUAUUUUAGUACCCUUUUCAUUAUAUCACUGUGCUUGUAACAUUCAGUUACAUUCAUUCUAUUGUUGUUUGAGGUAUCUAAUUUUAACAACUAGUAUGUAAGCUCUGUUGUAUAGCUUUUAUACCUUCUAUAUUCUUGAAUGAGCUCUUACAGGAGCUGGUCAAUAAUGAAUAAUUCAGUUAGUGCAUACUGGUAGGUUGGUGUUUUCCUUGAUUUGAGUGCAUAGUUUUAACUUAGAAUGUUCUGGUUCCCAUUUUAAUGCUUAAAAAAUUAGUAACACUUAGAUCAUGUAAAUGAUCUUAUUUGAAUUAACUAGAAAACUGUGGAUUUGGUAUACUAAUAUUGAAGCCUAAAGUACAGGCUAUUCUUAGUUAAAAUAGAAUGAUAACAGAAAGGUGUAUGAAUAGCACCUGUAUGUAAGCUAAUCUGGACGAUUGGAGGAACAAUCAGGAGAAUGACAAAUUUAAAAGUCUUUGAUUAUUGGAAGAUAAUUACUUUCACAGAUACUAAUUGUAACAUAAUGAUAGCUCUUUUUUCCAAUCAAAAACCUACACUCUGAAAUUUUGUUGCCAAAACAAAUUAGAAACCUAUAAUGUUGUAAUAUAAUUCUGUUCAGUUAAAAUUGUGUGUGUGUUUUGUUAGGUCUAAUAUGGGUCCAGGAUGCCCAGAAACAAAGUAUUUAAUAUCAUUAAAUGUGUAAUACACUCUAUAAUAUAUAGAAUUGUUGUGUGAUUAAUCACCAUUUAUUGAGCACCUGAUUUGACUUGAUUAUUAAGAUGGAACAGUGCUUUUAUAAUAAAAUUAAUGAAAGUUAAAGGCAUAUAAAGAUAUGAGUAGAUGUCUCGUCUUCUAGACAACUCACUGUAGAUUUGAAUGACCCAGUACAGAUAAUAUAGGAACUGAAUUGGGCCUUAUGAGAUUAAUUAGCAACACUCUAAUAAAUAUGAUGAAGGGAUGUGGCAUUUCACAUGGAGGUUCAAAGACCGAGGGACAAAGGCAUGGAAAUAGGCAAAGCAGUGUUUGGGAGUUGGCAGAUCAGUGUAGCUGAGGUGAAGUGUUCAUGUGGGAAGCCCUUAGAAAGCUGGAAACCCUUAGAAAGCUGUGUAAGAGCCAGAAUGUGAAAUCCUUACCUUCAUGUUUCUACUGUCUUUUUUUUUCCAUUGCUGGGAAUAAAAUGAUAUGCUAAAAUGGGGUGGUGGAAAUGGAAAAACAUUUAGAAUCACUGAAAGAAACUUUGUGAACAGGUGGUGAGAUAACCUAGUAUGAACUUAUUAAAUGUUAGCGUUAUGUAUAACCAGAGGUUUGUUUGGGUCUUUAAAUGCAGAUUAAAAUAAUUUAACACUUGACUCUUGCCAGGACUUUUAGCUCCCCGAAAUCCUAUAUGCCUAUACUAUUCUAUAUUUCUUUCUGCCUUAUGAACAUACAUCUCUGGAUUAUUACCAUCAACCUAAAUCCAGGCCGCCUCCUUCUCUUGAUUUCUUGUAUAUCAGUUUGGUGUCAUCAUUAUUCAUUUAUCCACUGAUUCAAUUCAGAAUUCUGUGAGGCAUCCUAGUCUUUUUCUCACUACUUCAUCAUUAUAUCCAGGCAGUCACUCAAUUCUGUUUUUUUUCUCUCUCCUUAAACAGCUCUCAGCAUAAUUUCUUUUCAUAAUCCAUACUAUUUAGCUAACCCAACUCUAUUCUUUCCAAGAAAUUUUAGCAGCCUCCAAGAGGUUUUAUUUCCCCCAGCUUCUCCCACCCCAGUUCAUUUUCUAAGUGGUAUCAGAAAUAUUUGCCUGUCUCUCUUAAGUGUAGUCCCUCCUUUGUUUGUUUGUUUUUUAUGCCAUUAACUGGUUGGGUCAGUUGUCCUAGAGAAUAUUUUAUAAUCUGGAUAUUUUUCUGUGCUUCCUCAUGUUGUCAUUUAACUUGUUCCUCUAUUUCCUGUUAAUUUGAAAUUUGGGCUAAAAGCUUGAUUAGGGUUGUUUUGGGUAUAUGGACAUUUUCCGUAUCCAUUGUUUAUAGCUGUAUUCAUGGGUUAGAUUCCUAGAGGUAGGAUUGCUGCAUCAAAAAUACAAAAGUCCUUUUUCUAGACAUUGUCAGAUUCCUAUCCAUAAGGGUUGUUUGAUUUUAUGCCUAUGAUUUUUGAGAGUGCUUGUUUGUUCCCCUACUUUCUGGUCAAUAAACAUGUGCCUAACUUGGAUUUUGGCCCAUCUGAUGUAUAAAUUAUAAUAUUUGCUUGGUUCUUUUUAUGAGCAAUUUCUUCUGUUAGUUGCCCAUUCUUUUUUUGUUUUUUGAUUUGGUUGUUUUGUUUUUUUUCCUUGAUUUUUAGAAACUUCAUGUAUAAUUGAGAUGUUAAAUUUUCACUUAUAUACCAUUUUCUGUGUUAAAUUGCACAAAAAAACACAGUUUGCUAUUUUGCACAAAUUUUACUUAUGUAUAUUUAUACCAUGCAAAUUUUUUUUAAAUUGUGUAUGGAUAGUUGAAUUACCAAAUUUUUGUUGUUUCUGAAGUCAUAAUUAGGAAAGUUCCAUUGAUUUGUUAUUCAGGUGUUGGCACAACUCUUAAUUAUAAAAAUAUUUUUUUAUAUAGUAGGACUAGCACCCCUCCUAUAUUGCUCUUCUUUUAUAGGAUUUUCUUGGUCAUUCAUGCUUGCUUAAUGGAUUGAAAGUUUAUUUUACAAAUAAGGAAAUGAACUGUUCAUAGGUGUUCUAUGACCAUGUAGUAAUGACAAAUACUAACAAUAAUUUUUCUUAAGGGUUUCUUUAUAUGAAGGUUAAAUGUAGCAAUCUUUUUGCAAGUGACUGAAACCAUGUAUAAGGAUAUAUAAUUAAAAAGAAGAAAGGUAAGGGUGUAUUGGGAACAUUUUUCUCAAAUCAGCAGUUUCUAAAGUGUGGUCUGUGGAUCACUACCAUCUUAGCACAGGUCAAAGCAAUGGCAUCAUAUUGUAACAGUAAUCACAAUUUUCCUCACAACUCUGCAUUCACAGUAAAAUAUGUCAGUUGGCAGUCAAGAAUAGCCUUGAUGAAACAAUAAAAAUUAUACAUUUUAUUAAAUCUUGAUCAUUUAACACAUCUUUUU